Molecule: ribosomal RNA, 449 nt
Filed under: uncultured bacterium
Lineage: Bacteria
Description: bacterial SSU rRNA
Rfam family: Bacterial small subunit ribosomal RNA
Source: RNAcentral
CCCAGACUCCUACGGGAGGCAGCAGUGGGGGAUAUUGGACAAUGGGGGGAACCCUGAUCCAGCGACGCCGCGUGAGUGAAGAAGUAUCUCGGUAUGUAAAGCUCUAUCAGCAGGGAAGAAGAAAUGACGGUACCUGAGUAAGAAGCCCCGGCUAACUACGUGCCAGCAGCCGCGGUAAUACGUAGGGGGCAAGCGUUAUCCGGAAUUACUGGGUGUAAAGGGAGCGUAGACGGUGAUGUAAGUCUGGAGUGAAAGGCGGGGGCCCAACCCCGGAACUGCUUUGGAAACUGUGCGGCUGGAGUGCAGGAGGGGUAAGCGGAAUUCCUAGUGUAGCGGUGAAAUGCGUAGAUAUUAGGAGGAACACCGGUGGCGAAGGCGGCUUACUGGACUGUAACUGACGUUGAGGCUCGAAAGCGUGGGGAGCAAACAGGAUUAGAUACCCGGGUAAU